This is a long non-coding RNA of Mus spicilegus (steppe mouse), 467 nucleotides long. Lineage: Eukaryota; Metazoa; Chordata; Mammalia; Rodentia; Muridae. The record is from Ensembl.
CUCACUUCUCCAACACCAAUUCAGUGAUUACAUUAUUUAGAACUUCAAUAUGGCAACGUCAAGGACGGUAACAUUUAUGAGGUUUUCUGGGACUUAUACAGGCCUCCCACACAGGAAGCCACCAAUACCCUAGGCCAAGUUCUACUGUGUCUGUCUUGCUUGUAAAGCAGUGAACUCCCUUUAGAACACCAUCAGUACUUGCAAUCUAAAAAAGUCCUAUAUGAUUCAUCCCAAGCCAGGAAGACUGUCUUUUAAAACAUUUUGCACCACAUUUUCAUCUUCAGUGGAUUCGACACUCUCUUGCAUACACAAUGGGAACAUUCACCUUUGGCUUCAAAGAGUGCCAGAAGGAGGUAGAAGGAGCCUGUGAGAAGAGAACUAAAAUAGCCGGAGCAGAAAGUCAGUCUAGCUCAUGAAGGUAAGCGCCUCCCUCUCAGGCCUUCGGCCUCCACUUGACCUUCCCCUUG